UUGGAUGAUGAAAUGCACUGGACUCUUGAGCAUUUUAUUGCAAAUAUUGAAGGAAAACCAUUUGCCUAAAAAGCAUUCUCUGACUA
RNAcentral lists this small nucleolar RNA (86 nucleotides) under Ananas comosus (pineapple). Lineage: Eukaryota; Viridiplantae; Streptophyta; Magnoliopsida; Poales; Bromeliaceae. The record is from RNAcentral.